GCAGUUUUAAAUGGUAGAAAUCAAGAACUCUUCCGAAUGCAAACUUGAUUGCUGAAAAUUUCUUCUGAAGUAAUCAUGUUGCCAGAUUCAGAGGGAGCCCAAGUGGAAUUAUCUGCCAAAUUUGUCUCAAUUCCUUCUCUUUCCCCUGCUGGAAAGGUGUAAGUGACUUGCUUUAUCAAGCAUGGUGAAACAUCAAACCAAAGGCUCUACAGUUUUUGUUUUAACUAUAGCUAAGCUUGUAAAAAGUAACGAUGAACAGAUUAAAUAUCAGUCAAUGAUUGAUAAAGUGAAUUGCCAUGAAGUUGAAUAAGGCUCAUGACUGAAUGAAGCAAUUGUAAUUUGGUGUUGCAAGUGUAGAGGAAUAAGUAUUACUAAGGUGUAUCAGCAUAUGAAUAUACAGAAGAUUUUUCAAUAUUCCACUACUUCUUGAUAGCCUUAGUUAUAGCAUCCAAAGGCAACAAGGGAUGUUUAUACUUAGACCACAUUAAUUAAUUACGGUUAAAUAGGAGUGUAUGAAUGGUUUAGUUAUAAAGGUGUACGUAAAAUACAUGUCAUUUGUUCUUUUAUUUGCUGUAAAAACUAUAUACCAUUAAUUUUUUUUCUUUACCACAUCCUACCCACAAAUGUUUUAGGUAGUUGGACAAUUUACCAUCCUCUGUUCUAAAAUUCAUAGCAAAACACACGUAGUUAAAAGAACUUAAUUCUUCUUGCUUAGAAUAUGAAAGCAAAACAUUGAAAGAACCACGUACUAAUCAAAGGGAAGCUACAAUUAAUACCAGAGCAACAAAACAGGCUAAGUAUGUAGCAGUGCAAUUAAGGCAGGUAGCAAUUAAUUAUGGAGUCAUGGAAGGAACAGAUAUUUCAAUACAAAAAUAAUUAAUGACAAGUAACAAGUUACGGCAUAGAAAGGAAUUUAGAACAUGUAACAGUUAAUAUAUGGAAUAAGAUAAUUCAUGAAUUAUGAGAAAGCAUGGAAACAAUUAUUUUGACGACGUAUAUACACUCGUCACGUCGCAUAUACGCCGUUAUACACAAAAUUCACAUCACAUAAAGUUCGAGGGUUCCUAAUUCCCUGAAAUCAAGGUUAGACCCAACACUUACCUCAUUCCGCAAUCAACUCUGUCACGAGCCGAAUCGGAGGGCCGCGACGGGCACCCGGUGACUUACUCAACCGAGUACCAACGUAACAUAUCUUUCUUAUCAUACCAUCAUGGGUAAACGGGCCGGAAAAACCGUCAUGAUAUAACAAGAAUGAAACAUAAGGGAAUACUCGACAUAUGACGACCCAACAUGAUAUACAAACUUAUACAUGUGACAUACGGGCCUAUAAGGCCGACAUGACCAUUUGUAAACUCAACACAUAGGCCAACAAGGCCAUACAAGUAUCCAUAAACCUGACAUCUGUCUACAAACCUCUAAGGGUACAUAAAAUCAUAAAGGUCGGGACAGGGGCCCGCCAUACCAAUCAAUACAUAUCCAAAGCAUGCUGACCAAAUAGGCAACUCCGGAGCAAGUGGAGUGCACCAACACCUCCGCUGAGCUGAUAUCCUACCAGGAGAAAUGUCAACCUAUCAAUUGGGACCUGCGGGCAUGAAACGCAGCGUCUCCAGGCAAAAAUGGACGUCAGUACGGAUAAAGUACCGAGUAUGUAAGGUAGGAAAACAUAAAUAAGAACAGUAAUGUAAAGAGAGAUAGAGAAAAUACAACCUGCAACAUUUGAGUGCCUCUGGGGGCUACUUACAUGAAAUGCAUAAUACAUAUAUACAUAAACUUUUUUAAAAACAUAUGCCUCUGUGGGCAUCAUCAUCAUCAUAUCGCACCCGGCCUCAAAGAGGACUCGGUAAAAAUGUACUCUGCCAUCAUAAGGCUCAGUAGAAUCAUACCCGGCCACAUGGAGCUCGGUAAACCCAACUGAUCAGUGGUUGCACAAUAGGUGUCGUACCCGGCCGACUAUAGCGCAGCUCGGUAGAGCAAAAUAGAUACAUAUAUAUAAUGCAUGCUCGACUCAUGGAAUCACGUUCUAAACCUUUCGGAGUGACGUAAGGUCGUUUCACCUUCGAUUAGCAUUAUGGACAUCAUAUCAUCAAUAUGAACUUCACUAGGACUCAAGGAUCAUACAUACUUUCUUAGAAUAACUUUGUACGGAAAUAACAACAUGUACAACCUUAGUUGCUAGGAGUAGAUUCAUUAUGAAAUAGUGUAUCGUUUAUGUUCAUUUCAAUUUAGAUCAUGCCAAAAGAAAGAAGAAAGUGCCUUAGCAUACCUUAACCAUGGUGAGUCCUUAAUACCUCCCUAGAAACUCUUCAAACAACUCAACUCAAUCUACCAUUGCAUAAGGAGAUUCUAAAUCAGUGUUGAAUAAAGGCUAAGUCUGCAACUUAAACUUGUAGCUCGUUUAUAUAAAUCCGGGCAGCAUCUCCCCUGUAACAAGAGCCUCCUCCAAUGCCAUAUACCAACAACAAUUACCAGAGAAAUCCAACAAUACAUAAUUAUCAAUAACAAGACACCAUAAAAUAACAACAAGUCAUAACUAUUUUACGACGAGCGACAAGCUUCAAUUGGAAUUCGUAUACCCCAUAUCAUCCCUUAUAGACUUUUUACUUUAACUUAAUAGUAUCAUUAACAUCAUAAUGAAGUCAUUCGUCAAUAAUUCCAGCCUCAUACCAUAUAUCCAUAACAAAGAAAAUGAUCCACAACUCCAAUUAUUCUUAAUUAGCAACUUUAUUCACUAGUUCAUGUCUAGUCCAUCCGUUUAACUUAAUCAAUGUCAAGAUAAUCUUAAGAAGAAUCAAGAACACAAUAUAAUUACCUCCUACAGUUGAUUCAAGUUGAAAUCCAUGUUACAUUUAGCUUACAAUAGCCCAAUACACCCCAAUCACUUCAUACCCAAAACGACAACUAUAGUAGUGUCAAACACGUCGAAAAUGUUACAAAGAAUGACUAAUCCACCAUUUCUCCUCCAAAAACUCCAUUAAAUAGCAGCAAAAUAUACAACCCAAAAGCAACACGAAACAGCCCACAACAAGUCGAAUAAUUCGAACUCACGGCUUCCGAUCACCAUCCCGUGAGUUCUAGCUAUUAGGAAAUGAAUUUAUCAACCUUCCUUCAUAUUUCAAAGCUUAAAUACAGAAAUAAAGCAUUUUCUUAACUAUUAAAUACCUUCCAAAACUCAAACUACAAAGAAAAAGAGAGGUAAUAUAGUGAUACUUACGUCGUAGGGAUCAUUCUAGUGUUAUUGCUUCGUGAUUUCGUGCCUUGGACGAUAAUCUUGUUGGAUAACCUUGUGGACAGCUUAAGGGUGAGUUUAGGGGUCUUAUUUGUUCGAGCUCUC
RNAcentral lists this long non-coding RNA (3331 nucleotides) under Nicotiana tabacum (common tobacco). Its description in RNAcentral is "long non-coding RNA (NTAB_LNC002430)". Lineage: Eukaryota; Viridiplantae; Streptophyta; Magnoliopsida; Solanales; Solanaceae. The record is from RNAcentral.